Molecule: ribosomal RNA, 1396 nt
Filed under: uncultured bacterium
Lineage: Bacteria
Description: partial 16S ribosomal RNA
Rfam family: Bacterial small subunit ribosomal RNA
Source: RNAcentral
GAGUUUGAUCCUGGCUCAGGAUGAACGCUAGCGGCAGGCUUAAUACAUGCAAGUCGUGGGGCAGCAUGUCCCGCAGCAAUGCGGGAUGAUGGCGACCGGCAAACGGGUGCGGAACACGUACACAACCUUCCUUUUAGUGGGGAAUAGCCCGGGGAAACCCGGAUUAAUACCCCGUAAUAUAAUGAAGUGGCAUCACUUUAUUAUUAUAGCAGCAAUGCGCUUAAAGAUGGGUGUGCGACUGAUUAGGCAGUUGGCGGGGUAACGGCCCACCAAACCUACGAUCAGUAACUGGUGUGAGAGCACGACCAGUCACACGGGCACUGAGACACGGGCCCGACUCCUACGGGAGGCAGCAGUAAGGAAUAUUGGUCAAUGGACGCAAGUCUGAACCAGCCAUGCCGCGUGGAGGAUGAAGGUCCUCUGGAUUGUAAACUUCUUUUAUCUGGGAAGAAAUCCACGAAUUCUUUUGUGGUUGACGGUACCAGAUGAAUAAGCACCGGCUAACUCCGUGCCAGCAGCCGCGGUAAUACGGAGGGUGCAAGCGUUAUCCGGAUUCACUGGGUUUAAAGGGUGCGUAGGUGGGCAGGUAAGUCAGUGGUGAAAUCUCCGGGCUUAACUCGGAAACUGCCAUUGAUACUAUCUGUCUUGAAUACCGUGGAGGUCAGCGGAAUAUGUCAUGUAGCGGUGAAAUGCUUAGAUAUGACAUAGAACACCAAUUGCGAAGGCAGCUGGCUACACGAAUAUUGACACUGAUGCACGAAAGCGUGGGGAUCAAACAGGAUUAGAUACCCUGGUAGUCCACGCCCUAAACGAUGGAUACUCGACAUACGCGAUAUACUGUGUGUGUCUGAGCGAAAGCAUUAAGUAUCCCACCUGGGAAGUACGAUCGCAAGAUUGAAACUCAAAGGAAUUGGCGGGGGUCCGCACAAGCGGUGGAGCAUGUGGUUUAAUUCGAGGCUACGCGAAGAACCUUAUCCUAGUCUUGACAUGCACGGAUUAACUCCUGGAAACAGGAGCCAGGCCUUCGGGUACAACGUGCACAGGUGCUGCAUGGCUGUCGUCAGCUCGUGUCGUGAGAUGUCGCGUUAAGUCGCUUAACGAGCGAAACCCUUGUCUCCAGUUGCCAGCGGGUCAUGCCGGGGACUCUGGAGAGACUGCCGGUGUUAAACCGGAGGAAGGUGGGGAUGACGUCAAGUCCUCAUGGCCUUUAUGACUAGGGCUGCACACGUCCUACAAUGGCACGCAUAAAGGGAUGCAAACUCGCGAGAGCAAGCAAAUCCCAAAAAACGUGCCCCAGUUCGGAUUGCAGGCUGCAACCCGCCUGCAUGAAGCCGGAAUCGCUAGUAAUCGCGGAUCAGAAUGCCGCGGUGAAUGUGUUCCUGAGCCUUGCACACAC